UACAGGAGCUACCAGCUCAGUAAAAACAGGAAGUGGUAUGUGUAUAAAGACUUAAACCUGGAGCCCCACCAGGGUCAUGCUGCGCAGAAGACUGGAGUGCUGUCACUGGGGACAGUAAGGACGUCUGUGUAAAGGUGCCCCCUCCCUUCUCGGCUUCAGGAGUCUGGUGAACAGGAGCCAGGAAAUCCCACAGCCCUUUCCAUCAACGUCAUGCUUGCUGACUGGACAAUGGCCACCCCUUGAAAGCAAGCAGGGCAGCAUUACUCAAAGGCAAUUCUUAUAUAAAUUUAAGAAGCAUAAGCACCAGAAUAUUGUAAAAGCUGUGGAGUCAUUUAGACCGGGAUGAAAUGCCAGAACUACUAUACAGCAGCUGUGUGGCUUUGGGACGCCAAGUUCUCAGGAGCGCCUUGGCCCAGCGCGGACCCUGAGCUGCCCCGCCCUGCUCACCUGCUGAAGACGAGGCAGCCCAGG
Non-coding RNA from Sus scrofa (pig), 471 nucleotides. Lineage: Eukaryota; Metazoa; Chordata; Mammalia; Artiodactyla; Suidae. The record is from RefSeq and is a predicted model, not a curated record.